This 466-nucleotide ribosomal RNA is filed under the name uncultured bacterium. Its description in RNAcentral is "partial 16S ribosomal RNA". It matches the Rfam family "Bacterial small subunit ribosomal RNA", at positions 27 to 507 of the family's 1533-position model. The record is from RNAcentral.
GGACGGACGCUGGCGGCGUGCUUAACACAUGCAAGUCGAACGGAAAGGCCCCAGCUUGCUGGGGUACUCGAGUGGCGAACGGGUGAGUAACACGUGGGUGAUCUGCCCUGCACUCUGGGAUAAGCCUGGGAAACUGGGUCUAAUACCGGAUAGGACCGUGCUUUAGUGUGUGCGGUGGAAAGUUUUUCGGUGCAGGAUGAGCCCGCGGCCUAUCAGCUUGUUGGUGGGGUAAUGGCCUACCAAGGCGGCGACGGGUAGCCGGCCUGAGAGGGUGUACGGCCACAUUGGGACUGAGACACGGCCCAGACUCCUACGGGAGGCAGCAGUGGGGAAUAUUGCACAAUGGGCGCAAGCCUGAUGCAGCGACGCCGCGUGGGGGAUGACGGCCUUCGGGUUGUAAACCCCUUUCGGCAGGGACGAAGCUUUUGUGACGGUACCUGCAUAAGAAGCACCGGCUAACUACGUG